CCUACGGGGGGCAGCAGUGAGGAAUAUUGGUCAAUGGACGAGAGUCUGAACCAGCCAAGUAGCGUGAAGGAUGACUGCCCUAUGGGUUGUAAACUUCUUUUAUAAAGGAAUAAAACGAGGCACGUGUGCCUUUUUGCAUGUACUUUAUGAAUAAGGAUCGGCUAACUCCGUGCCAGCAGCCGCGGUAAUACGGAGGAUCCGAGCGUUAUCCGGAUUUAUUGGGUUUAAGGGGAGCGUAGAUGGGUUGUUAAGUCAGUUGUGAAAGUUUGCGGCUCAACCGUAAAAUUGCAAUUGAUACUGGCAGUCGUGAGUACAGUUGAGGUAGGCGGAAUUCGUGGUGUAGCGGUGAAAUGCUUAGAUAUCACGAAGAACCCCGAUUGCGAAGGCAGCUUACUAAGCUGUGACUGACAUUGAUGCUCGAAAGUGUGGGUAUCAAACAGGAUUAGAUACCCCUGUAGUG
RNAcentral lists this ribosomal RNA (460 nucleotides) under uncultured bacterium. RNAcentral's name for it is "partial 16S ribosomal RNA". It matches the Rfam family "Bacterial small subunit ribosomal RNA", at positions 338 to 795 of the family's 1533-position model. The record is from RNAcentral.